CAGCCGCCGCGGGAAUACGAAGGGGGCUAGCGUUGCUCGGAAUCACUGGGCGUAAAGGGUGCGUAGGCGGGUCUUUAAGUCAGGGGUGAAAUCCUGGAGCUCAACUCCAGAACUGCCUUUAAGACUGCAUCGCUUGAAUCCAGGAGAGGUGAGUGGAAUUCCGAGUGUAGAGGUGAAAUUCGUAGAUAUUCGGAAGAACACCAGUGGCGAAGGCGGCUCACUGGACUGGUAUUGACGCUGAGGUGCGAAAGCGUGGGGAGCAAACAGGAUUAGAUACCCCGGUAGUCCCUGUCUCUUAUAA
This 301-nucleotide ribosomal RNA is filed under the name uncultured bacterium. Its description in RNAcentral is "partial 16S ribosomal RNA". It matches the Rfam family "Bacterial small subunit ribosomal RNA", at positions 509 to 809 of the family's 1533-position model. The record is from RNAcentral.